GAUUAGCUCAGUUGGUAGAGCAUCAGACUCUUAAUCUUAGGGUUGUGGGUUCGAGCCCCACAUUGGGCCA
Podarcis lilfordi (Lilford's wall lizard) is the source of this 70-nucleotide non-coding RNA. The record is from the annotation of a GenBank genome assembly. Lineage: Eukaryota; Metazoa; Chordata; Lepidosauria; Squamata; Lacertidae.